RNAcentral lists this ribosomal RNA (446 nucleotides) under uncultured bacterium. RNAcentral describes it as "bacterial SSU rRNA". It matches the Rfam family "Bacterial small subunit ribosomal RNA", at positions 329 to 792 of the family's 1533-position model. The record is from RNAcentral.
ACCCAGACUCCUACGGGAGGCAGCAGUGGGGAAUAUUGCACAAUGGGGGGAACCCUGAUGCAGCGACGCCGCGUGGGUGAAGGAGCACCUCGGUGCGUAAAGCCCUAUCGGCAGGGAAGAAACAGACGGUACCUGACUAAGAAGCCCCGGCUAACUACGUGCCAGCAGCCGCGGUAAUACGUAGGGGGCAAGCGUUAUCCGGAUUCACUGGGUGUAAAGGGAGCGUAGACGGCGAGGUAAGCCUGAAGUGGAAGCCCGCGGCCCAACCGCGGAACCGCUUUGGAAACUGCGAGGCUGGAGUGCUGGAGAGGUAAGCGGAAUUCCUGGUGUAGCGGUGAAAUGCGUAGAUAUCAGGAGGAACACCGGUGGCGAAGGCGGCUUACUGGACAGUGACUGACGUUGAGGCUCGAAAGCGUGGGUAGCAAACAGGAUUAGAUACCCCUGUA